CACACACUCUCACACAUGCAUACACGCAGAGGAUACUCAGCACAGGGCUAGGGCAAUGGUUCCCUGAAGAGGGAGGAAGGGAGGCUUUUCCAAACUUUUUCUUCCUCACAGAAAGUUCGAAAAAAAAAAAUCAUUGCAUAAAGGAUCAGUCAAACUAUUUCCAGUGGUGCUUAUGACCAGCUAAGUGGGAGAGGACAGAAAAAGAGGCCACUGCUGGGACAGGAGAGUCCUUCAUCCAGAAGUCUCCUUACUUCUCUCCUGCUACUCCUGUCGAGGAAGAGAAAUUCCAACCCAACUAAAAUCAUCCUGCCUUGCUUUGUACAAGAGGGAGGGGAAGCCAGAUCUGUUGAGCCACCCCUGCCAAGAAGUAGCCAAAUGCUCUCUGAAUUGCCGGGGCCAAACUGCAGCAUGGGCAGGGUAACUCGCGAGCCUGAGCUCGCUGCCUGCUCCUUCCAGCUCGGCAGAGCCAUCACAAACAACUCUCACGACGGUUAAAGAAUUCCGGCACAAAGCAGACGAAGGCAGAUCUGGCCUCUCUAAAGCAGCUCAGAGCGACCACGGGAAGCAGAGACCGAACCGCAGCCGUGUACGAGGGGACCCAGCAGCGCCUGUGCCUGAACCGUACUGCUCCCCAAACGGGGAGGAGGUGGGCUGGCUUUCCAGAGCUCAGCCCAAACCUCACGGCAGCUUUCUGCUUUUAUGGUAGGCUAAAUCUCUAAGUCCGGCAUUUGAGCGCUGUAAGAUUUAAAAGUCUGUGCUUUACAGUUUCUUUGAGCCACCAACUGUCUUUUCUGGUAAGAAAUCCCUGAUCUGCAAAGACUAAUUAACCUGUGGAUGGUUUUGCAGUUAUGAAGGCACAGAACUUUGCAUCAUUGCCCACAGACAAGCAUCUAGUUUUCUGUCUUUGAGAGUUCUUAAGACUCUUCCACUUCAAUAAAUAAAGGCAACAUAAACAAAGUUAAUGCUUUAAUUCCGUGUCCUUCAUUUUCCUCAAGCAAAGAUCUUCCUGCACUGAAUUCUGAAUUGAAUCUUUAUCAAAACCUCUCAACAUGAGAACUGAAAAUAAAUGUUUCAGAAAACAAUUUCAAGAAACUCAGUAAUUUCAC
RNAcentral lists this long non-coding RNA (1106 nucleotides) under Geospiza fortis (medium ground-finch). RNAcentral describes it as "lncRNA (ENSGFOG00000006989.1)". Lineage: Eukaryota; Metazoa; Chordata; Aves; Passeriformes; Thraupidae. The record is from RNAcentral.